GACGGAAGGUGCAAGCGUUGCUCGGAAUCGCUGGGCGUAAAGCGUGCGCAGGCGGUUCGUUGUGUCGGUGGUGAAAGCCCCGGGCUUAACCUGGGAAUGGCCAUGGAAACUGGCGAACUGGAGUGUGGCAGAGGGGGGUGGAAUUCCGCGUGUAGCAGUGAAAUGCGUAGAGAUGCGGAGGAACACCGAUGGCGAAGGCAGCCCCCUGGGCUAACACUGACGCUCAGGCACGAAAGCGUGGGGAGCAAACAGG
Molecule: ribosomal RNA, 253 nt
Filed under: uncultured bacterium
Lineage: Bacteria
Description: partial 16S ribosomal RNA
Rfam family: Bacterial small subunit ribosomal RNA
Source: RNAcentral